Molecule: ribosomal RNA, 1133 nt
Filed under: Adelges cooleyi (spruce gall adelgid)
Lineage: Eukaryota; Metazoa; Arthropoda; Insecta; Hemiptera; Adelgidae
Description: partial 16S large subunit ribosomal RNA
Source: RNAcentral
UGUUUUAUAAAAAUAAUUUAUUUUUUUUUUGUUUUUGUAUUAUUUAAAAAUUAAUUUUUAGUUUUAUAGUUUAUUAGUAUUGUAAAAAAAAUUUAAAAAAUUUUAUUAAAAAUAAAUAUUAUUAGUACCUUUUGUAUCAGGGUUAAUUAAAAUUUUUAAUUUAUAAUUAAUUUCUCAAAAUUUAUAGAGUUAAUUUUAUUAUUUAAGUUAUUGUUUUAUAAAUAUUUAAAAAAUAAAUUUAGAUUUGAAAUUUAAUUCGUUAUAAAAUAUUUAGUUAUUUAAGAUUUAAAUUUAAUUUAUAAUUUUAAUAGUUAUUUUAAUUUUAAUUAAAAUUAUUUUAAAAUUAAAUUAUUUUAGGGAUAAGCUUAAAAUUUAUAUAUAAUUUUAUUUAUUUUUUAUAAUUUUUAGGAAUAGUAAUUUUUAUUUUAAGUUUGUAAAAAUUUAUUAUUAGAUUUUAUUUAAAUUUAUUAUAUUAAUUUAUUUUUAAUAUUAAAUUUUAUAAAUUAUUUAUUGAUUUAUAGUAAUAAUGAUUGAAUUAGUAUAAUUAGAAAUUUAUGAAUUAUGAAUUCGGCAAUUUUUAUUUUCAUCUGUUUAACAAAAACAUUGUAUUAAGUUUUAUUUAAUAUAUAAUCUGCUCAAUGAUUUAAAAUUAAAUAGCUGCAGUAUAUUGACUGUGCAAAGGUAGCAUAAUAAUUAGUCUUUUAAUUGAAGACUUGUAUGAAAGAUUUGAUGAGAAAUAAACUUUAUUAUUUAUAAAAUUAAAAUUUUAUUUUUAAGUAAAAAAGCUUAAAUUUUUUUAAGGGACGAUAAGACCCUAUAAAACUUUAUAAUAAAAUAUAAUUUAAUUUUUUUGUAAAUUAUUUUAAUUUAAUUUAUUUUAUUAUUUUAUUGGGGUGAUAAAAAAAAAUUAAUAACUUUUUUUAAAUUUUAACAUUAAUUUAUGAUUAUUUGAAUUAAAAUUUUUAAUUAAAGGGAAAAGUUACUUUAGGGAUAACAGCGUAAUUAAUUUUUAAAGUUCAAAUUUGAAAAUUAGUUUGCGACCUCGAUGUUGAAUUAAGAUAAUUUUUAGGUNCAAAAUUUUAAAUUUUAGGUCUGUUCGACCUUUAAAUUCUUACAUGAUUUGAGUUCAAACC